ACCCGCUGAACUUAAGCAUAUCAAUAAGCGGAGGAAAAGAAACCAACAGGGAUUGCCCUAGUAACGGCGAGUGAAGCGGCAACAGCUCAAAUUUGAAAUCUGGCGUCUUUGGCGUCCGAGUUGUAAUUUGCAGAGGGCGCUUUGGCAUUGGCAGCGGUCCAAGUUCCUUGGAACAGGACGUCACAGAGGGUGAGAAUCCCGUACGUGGUCGCUAGCCUUUACCGUGUAAAGCCCCUUCGACGAGUCGAGUUGUUUGGGAAUGCAGCUCUAAAUGGGAGGUAAAUUUCUUCUAAAGCUAAAUACUGGCCAGAGACCGAUAGCGCACAAGUAGAGUGAUCGAAAGAUGAAAAGCACUUUGGAAAGAGAGUUAAAAAGCACGUGAAAUUGUUGAAAGGGAAGCGCUUGCAGCCAGACUUGCCUGUAGUUGCUCAUCCAGGUUUCUACCUGGUGCACUCUUCUAUAGGCAGGCCAGCAUCAGUUUGGGCGGUUGGAUAAAGGUCUCUGUCAUGUACCUCUCUUCGGGGAGAACUUAUAGGGGAGACGACAUGCAACCAGCCUGGACUGAGGUCCGCGCAUCUGCUAGGAUGCUGGCGUAACGGCUGUAAGCGGCCCGUCUUGAAACACGGACCAAGGAGUCUAACAUCUAUGCGAGUGUUUGGGUGUCAAGCCCGAGCGCGUAAUGAAAGUGAACGGAGGUGGGAACCUUUCGGGGUGCACCAUCGACCGAUCCUGAUGUCUUCGGAUGGAUUUGAAUAAGAGCAUAGCUGUUGGGACCCGAAAGAUGGUGAACUAUGCUUGAAUAGGGUGAAGCCAGAGGAAACUCUGGUGGAGGCUCGCAGCGGUUCUGACGUGCAAAUCGAUCGUCAAAUUUGGGCAUAGGGGCGAAAGACUAAUUGAACUAUCUAGUAGCUGGUUCCUGCCGA
Molecule: ribosomal RNA, 923 nt
Filed under: Didymella segeticola
Lineage: Eukaryota; Fungi; Ascomycota; Dothideomycetes; Pleosporales; Didymellaceae
Description: partial large subunit ribosomal RNA
Rfam family: Eukaryotic large subunit ribosomal RNA
Source: RNAcentral